RNAcentral lists this ribosomal RNA (305 nucleotides) under Paenibacillus macerans. RNAcentral describes it as "partial 23S ribosomal RNA". It matches the Rfam family "Bacterial large subunit ribosomal RNA", at positions 2626 to 2925 of the family's 2925-position model. The record is from RNAcentral. Lineage: Bacteria; Bacillati; Bacillota; Bacilli; Caryophanales; Paenibacillaceae.
ACAGUUCGGUCCCUAUCCGUCGUGGGCGUAGGAAAUUUGAGAGGAGCUGUCCUUAGUACGAGAGGACCGGGAUGGACAUACCUCUGGUGUACCAGUUGUCGUGCCAACGGCAUAGCUGGGUAGCUAUGUAUGGACGGGAUAAGUGCUGAAAGCAUCUAAGCAUGAAGCCCCCCUCAAGAUGAGAUUUCCCAACUUCGGUUAUAAGAUCCCUCGAAGAUGACGAGGUUAAUAGGUUCGAGGUGGAAGCGUGGUGACACGUGGAGCUGACGAAUACUAAUCGAUCGAAGACUUAAUCAAUUUUUAAA